Molecule: ribosomal RNA, 420 nt
Filed under: uncultured bacterium
Lineage: Bacteria
Description: bacterial SSU rRNA
Rfam family: Bacterial small subunit ribosomal RNA
Source: RNAcentral
GAAUAUUGGUCAAUGGGUGAGAGCCUGAACCAGCCAUGCCGCGUGCAGGAAGACGGCCUUCUGGGUUGUAAACUGCUUUUAUAUAGGAAUAAACCCUCGUUCGUGAACGAGGCUGAAGGUACUAUAAGAAUAAGGACCGGCUAACCCCGUGCCAGCAGCCGCGGUAAGACGGAGGGUCCAAGCGUUAUCCGGAUUUAUUGGGUUUAAAGGGUCCGCAGGCGGGAGAAUAAGUCAGUGGUGAAAUCCUGUCGCUUAACGAUAGAACUGCCAUUGAUACUGUUUUUCUUGAGUAUAGAUGAAGUGGGCGGAAUGUGUCAUGUAGCGGUGAAAUGCAUAGAUAUGACACAGAACACCGAUUGCGAAGGCAGCUCACUAAACUAUAACUGACGCUCAUGGACGAAAGCGUGGGGAGCGAACAGG